Molecule: transfer RNA, 88 nt
Filed under: Neogoniolithon spectabile
Lineage: Eukaryota; Rhodophyta; Florideophyceae; Corallinales; Spongitidaceae
Description: tRNA-Ser
Rfam family: tRNA
About the family: Transfer RNA (tRNA) molecules are approximately 80 nucleotides in length. Their secondary structure includes four short double-helical elements and three loops (D, anti-codon, and T loops). Further hydrogen bonds mediate the characteristic L-shaped molecular structure. tRNAs have two regions of fundamental functional importance: the anti-codon, which is responsible for specific mRNA codon recognition, and the 3' end, to which the tRNAs corresponding amino acid is attached (by aminoacyl-tRNA synthetases). tRNAs cope with the degeneracy of the genetic code in two manners: having more than one tRNA (with a specific anti-codon) for a particular amino acid; and 'wobble' base-pairing, i.e. permitting non-standard base-pairing at the 3rd anti-codon position.
Source: RNAcentral
AGGUAAGUGGCUGAGUGGCUUAAAGCGACAAUUUUGAAAAUUGUUAUAAACAAUGUUUUAUCAUAGGUUCAAAUCCUAUCUUACCUAC